AGGUGUUGUUGGGUAGGGGAGCGUUCUGUAAGCCUGUGAAGGUGGCCUGUGAGGGUUGCUGGAGGUAUCAGAAGUGCGAAUGCUGACAUAAGUAACGAUAAAGCGGGUGAAAAGCCCGCUCGCCGGAAGACCAAGGGUUCCUGUCCAACGUUAAUCGGGGCAGGGUGAGUCGACCCCUAAGGCGAGGCCGAAAGGCGUAGUCGAUGGGAAACGGGUUAAUAUUCCCGUACUUGGUGUUACUGCGAAGGGGGGACGGAGAAGGCUAUGUUGGCCGGGCGACGGUUGUCCCGGUUUAAGCGUGUAGGUGUGUGUUCCAGGUAAAUCCGGUUCACUUUAACACUGAGGCGUGACGACGAGGCACUACGGUGCUGAAGCAACAAAUGCCCUGCUUCCAGGAAAAGCCUCUAAGCAUCAGGUAACAUCAAAUCGUACCCCAAACCGACACAGGUGGUCAGGUAGAGAAUACCAAGGCGCUUGAGAGAACUCGGGUGAAGGAACUAGGCAAAAUGGUGCCGUAACUUCGGGAGAAGGCACACUGACACGUAGGUGAAGUGAUUUACUCAUGGAGCUGAAGUCAGUCGAAGAUACCAGCUGGCUGCAACUGUUUAUUAAAAACACAGCACUGUGCAAACACGAAAGUGGACGUAUACGGUGUGACGCCUGCCCGGUGCCGGAAGGUUAAUUGAUGGGGUCAGCGCAAGCGAAGCUCCUGAUCGAAGCCCCGGUAAACGGCGGCCGUAACUAUAACGGUCCUAAGGUAGCGAAAUUCCUUGUCGGGUAAGUUCCGACCUGCACGAAUGGCGUAAUGAUGGCCAGGCUGUCUCCACCCGAGACUCAGUGAAAUUGAACUCGCUGUGAAGAUGCAGUGUACCCGCGGCAAGACGGAAAGACCCCGUGAACCUUUACUAUAGCUUGACACUGAACAUUGAGCCUUGAUGUGUAGGAUAGGUGGGAGGCUUUGAAGUGUGGACGCCAGUCUGCAUGGAGCCGACCUUGAAAUACCACCCUUUAAUGUUUGAUGUUCUAACGUGGACCCGUAAUCCGGGUUGCGGACAGUGUCUGGUGGGUAGUUUGACUGGGGCGGUCUCCUCCUAAAGAGUAACGGAGGAGCACGAAGGUUGGCUAAUCCUGGUCGGACAUCAGGAGGUUAGUGCAAUGGCAUAAGCCAGCUUGACUGCGAGCGUGACGGCGCGAGCAGGUGCGAAAGCAGGUCAUAGUGAUCCGGUGGUUCUGAAUGGAAGGGCCAUCGCUCAACGGAUAAAAGGUACUCCGGGGAUAACAGGCUGAUACCGCCCAAGAGUUCAUAUCGACGGCGGUGUUUGGCACCUCGAUGUCGGCUCAUCACAUCCUGGGGCUGAAGUAGGUCCCAAGGGUAUGGCUGUUCGCCAUUUAAAGUGGUACGCGAGCUGGGUUUAGAACGUCGUGAGACAGUUCGGUCCCUAUCUGCCGUGGGCGCUGGAGAACUGAGGGGGGCUGCUCCUAGUACGAGAGGACCGGAGUGGACGCAUCACUGGUGUUCGGGUUGUCAUGCCAAUGGCACUGCCCGGUAGCUAAAUGCGGAAGAGAUAAGUGCUGAAAGCAUCUAAGCACGAAACUUGCCCCGA
This 1604-nucleotide ribosomal RNA is filed under the name Salmonella enterica subsp. enterica serovar Reading. RNAcentral's name for it is "partial 23S ribosomal RNA". It matches the Rfam family "Bacterial large subunit ribosomal RNA", at positions 1216 to 2802 of the family's 2925-position model. Lineage: Bacteria; Pseudomonadati; Pseudomonadota; Gammaproteobacteria; Enterobacterales; Enterobacteriaceae. The record is from RNAcentral.